UACGUAGGGUGCAAGCGUUAAUCGGAAUUACUGGGCGUAAAGCGUGCGCAGGCGGUUAUGCAAGACAGAUGUGAAAUCCCCGGGCUCAACCUGGGAACUGCAUUUGUGACUGCAUAGCUAGAGUACGGUAGAGGGGGAUGGAAUUCCGCGUGUAGCAGUGAAAUGCGUAGAUAUGCGGAGGAACACCAAUGGCGAAGGCAGCCCCCUGGGAUAAUAUUGACGCUCAUGCACGAAAGCGUGGGGAGCAAACAGG
Molecule: ribosomal RNA, 253 nt
Filed under: uncultured bacterium
Lineage: Bacteria
Description: partial 16S ribosomal RNA
Rfam family: Bacterial small subunit ribosomal RNA
Source: RNAcentral